RNAcentral lists this long non-coding RNA (1046 nucleotides) under Mytilus galloprovincialis (Mediterranean mussel). The record is from RNAcentral. Lineage: Eukaryota; Metazoa; Mollusca; Bivalvia; Mytilida; Mytilidae.
UAAUAAAUUCGUUUAUAAAACAAAUCUGUCAGUGUUCCUAUUGAUGGCUCAGAUCAAGUACUGAUAGGGUAGGGUAGCUAUUUUAGUAUUGAAUUUUUUUAUUUGAACUAGUUUAAACUUUCUUUCAGUUCAAAUUAUCAGAAAUUUAAAGCAGACUUGAUUUUACCGAAGUAAGAAGAUACUUUUGUACCAGGGGAAACAAAGUUCUUGAAAGGUGUUUGUCUUGCUUUAAAAAAAAUUGGAUUGGUAUAGUCACUGUCUGAAAGUUUGUAAGUCCAAAGUGCAUUUUCACUGUUCCCACCUAAAUAAAGGUUGGCCGCCCUUGGUGCCCUUACAUACCCCUGCUCUUUUGCCCUUCACCCUAAAUAAAGGUGGGCCGCCCUUGGUGCCCUUACGCACCAUUGCUCUUUAAAAGCCCUCCAAAACAAAAAAUCCACCCUCUAGCUGCCUUUUAAAAAAUAAAAUUUCCAAAUUUUUUAUCAGUCCAAUUCUUUAAUUCUAUUUAUAAGUCUCUGUCAGACUUCGGAUUCACAUUGUUACACUACAUCGGGGAUAUGUCAUAAUAUUUCAAAUUUUUAUAAAUGGUAGCAGGCAUAUAUAUGGUACAUGUCAAACAUUUCAAAUUUUUAUUGUUAAGUGAUUUGGAAUGUCGACUUAUUGGAGUACUCUGGGCCAAAGUUGAUUUAGAUAACUAUAUGGGAAAUAACAUUGUAAAGACAUAAAAAAAGGCACAGAACACAAAGAUUGAGCAACAGGGCCACCAUUUACAACAGGGCCACCAUUUACAUCAAAGCCACCAUUAACAACAGGGCCACCAUUAACAACAGGUUGUAAAUUCAGGAAAGGUUCUCUGGAAAGCUAGUCAAUGCAAUUCCUUCUUAUUUUACCUGCAGUGUUAAACAGUGUGAAAUAUAUAUGCUGCAAAAAAAACCAACCACAGCAACAUGCACACAAUUAAAUUGUUAAAUUUAAAAAGAAACUUGACUCCCCUUGAAAAACAAAAAGCUAUAAAAAUAUUCAAUUAGAAGGUGAAAAUGAUACAGUGA